GGGGGCCCGCAAGCGGUGGAGCAUGUGGUUUAAUUCGAUGCAACGCGAAGAACCUUACCUACUCUUGACAUCCAGAGAACUUAGCAGAGAUGCUUUGGUGCCUUCGGGAACUCUGAGACAGGUGCUGCAUGGCUGUCGUCAGCUCGUGUUGUGAAAUGUUGGGUUAAGUCCCGCAACGAGCGCAACCCUUAUCCUUUGUUGCCAUCGGUUCGGCCGGGAACUCAAAGGAGACUGCCAGUGAUAAACUGGAGGAAGGUGGGGAUGACGUCAAGUCAUCAUGGCCCUUACGAGUAGGGCUACACACGUGCUACAAUGGCGUAUACAAAGAGGAGCGACCUCGCGAGAGCAAGCGGACCUCAUAAAGUACGUCGUAGUCCGGAUUGAAGUCUGCAACUCGACUCCAUGAAGUCGGAAUCGCUAGUAAUCGUAGAUCAGAAUGCUACGGUGAAUACGUUCCCGGGGCCUUGUACACACC
Molecule: ribosomal RNA, 475 nt
Filed under: uncultured bacterium
Lineage: Bacteria
Description: bacterial SSU rRNA
Rfam family: Bacterial small subunit ribosomal RNA
Source: RNAcentral